GGAAUUGUGGCUCAUCGGCAGAGCGCUUGCCUCUCAAGUAUGAGGCACUGGGUUCAAUCCUCAGCACCA
This 69-nucleotide transfer RNA is filed under the name Urocitellus parryii (Arctic ground squirrel). RNAcentral's name for it is "Spermophilus parryii (Arctic ground squirrel) tRNA". It matches the Rfam family "tRNA". Rfam says of the family: Transfer RNA (tRNA) molecules are approximately 80 nucleotides in length. Their secondary structure includes four short double-helical elements and three loops (D, anti-codon, and T loops). The record is from Rfam by way of RNAcentral. Lineage: Eukaryota; Metazoa; Chordata; Mammalia; Rodentia; Sciuridae. RNAcentral also lists the same sequence under 1 other name.